UAACAACACGUGUCUGGUUUACGUGCCUGCACGUCGUUACAAUUCGUUAUUUUUACAAGUACCUACUGUUGUUUACGUGAAAUUAAAAGUGGAAAAAACCUAAAUAAUGGAUUCUGAAGGGAAUGCUAUGACCGCUGAAGGCCCGCAGGCAGGUCCAAGUGGACUUUCCCGUAAAAGAGCCCGAAGUAGAGCGAGUAGUACCAGCUCUUCGAGUAGUUCCAGUUCAAGUUCGUCAUCCUCUUCUGGUUCAAAACGGAAGCGUUCGCGGCGCUACCGCCGCAAGAAAAGCAGGCGUUCGCACCGAUACCGCCGCCUGGACAAAUUAUUCGAGGAAGUGGUCAGAGGAGCUGCCAAACCUGCUUCACGUACGGUGAUAGCUGGCUGGAUAAAAACCCUAUUCAAUGAGUCUGGUAUCGCCGACACUCCUGGAAGUGUUCGGUCAGCAGUGGCUUCGAAAAGCUGGCUUGACAAUCAUCCCCUCGACGAAAUCUUAGCACGCGGAAAUUGGCGAUCGGCGGAAACAUUUCAGCGUUUUUAUAGACGAGAAGUGAUAUCAUCUAAUAAUUCCGAAAAUGUUACACAGUUCUUUAAUCCGGUUGAUUAAGAUAAUAAUGUUAAUGAAUCUAUAUAUUUUAAAUUCAUCGUAACUACUUGCCUUUAUUUAU
Long non-coding RNA from Pectinophora gossypiella (pink bollworm), 665 nucleotides. RefSeq lists it as uncharacterized. NCBI's taxonomy places the organism in Eukaryota, Metazoa, Arthropoda, Insecta, Lepidoptera, Gelechiidae. The transcript is spliced from 3 exons. The record is from RefSeq and is a predicted model, not a curated record.